CACUGAUAUGAAGAGCUUGCUCGGAUUUGAAGAUGAACAUUGCAAAGAGUGGCGAACGGGUGAGUAACACGUGGGAAACCUACCUCUUAGCGGGGGAUAACACUUGGAAACAAGUGCUAAUACCGCAUAAUACUGAUAACCGCAUGGUUAUCAGUUGAAAGAUGGUUCUGCUAUCACUAAGAGAUGGUCCCGCGGUGUAUUAGCUAGUUGGUAAGGUAAUGGCUUACCAAGGCAAUGAUACAUAGCCGAGUUGAGAGACUGAUCGGCCACAAUGGGACUGAGACACGGCCCAUACUCCUACGGGAGGCAGCAGUAGGGAAUCUUCCACAAUGGACGAAAGUCUGAUGGAGCAACGCCGCGUGUGUGAUGAAGGGUUUCGGCUCGUAAAACACUGUUGUAAGAGAAGAAUGACAUUGAGAGUAACUGUUCAGUGUGUGACGGUAUCUUACCAGAAAGGAACGGCUAAAUACGUGCCAGCAGCCGCGGUAAUACGUAUGUUCCAAGCGUUAUCCGGAUUUAUUGGGCGUAAAGCGAGCGCAGACGGUUGUUUAAGUCUGAAGUGAAAGCCCACAGCUUAACUGUGGAAGUGCUUUGGAAACUGGAUAACUUGAGUGCAGUAGAGGAGAGUGGAACUCCAUGGG
Molecule: ribosomal RNA, 641 nt
Filed under: Weissella minor
Lineage: Bacteria; Bacillati; Bacillota; Bacilli; Lactobacillales; Lactobacillaceae
Description: bacterial SSU rRNA
Rfam family: Bacterial small subunit ribosomal RNA
Source: RNAcentral